GCGCUUGUUUCAGCAGUUCAAAUACUCAAAUUGGAAAGAUACAGAGAUCAGCAUGGCCCCUGCACAGGGACUACACGCAAAUUCGAAACACCUUGGGUAAAUCA
This is a small nuclear RNA of Leptonychotes weddellii (Weddell seal), 104 nucleotides long. The record is from RefSeq and is a predicted model, not a curated record. Lineage: Eukaryota; Metazoa; Chordata; Mammalia; Carnivora; Phocidae.